This 368-nucleotide ribosomal RNA is filed under the name uncultured organism. RNAcentral describes it as "bacterial SSU rRNA". It matches the Rfam family "Bacterial small subunit ribosomal RNA", at positions 526 to 896 of the family's 1533-position model. The record is from RNAcentral.
CGGAGGGUGCAAGCGUUGUCCGGAUUUAUUGGGUUUAAAGGGUGCGUAGGCGGUCUUUUAAGUCAGUGGUGAAAUCCUGCAGCUCAACUGUAGAACAGCCAUUGAUACUGAAAGACUUGAGUACAGACGAGGUAGGCGGAAUUUAUGGUGUAGCGGUGAAAUGCAUAGAUACUAUAAAGAACCCCUAUUGCGAAGGCAGCUUACUAGGCUGUAACUGACGCUGAGGCACGAAAGCGUGGGGAUCAAACAGGAUUAGAUACCCUGGUAGUCCACGCCGUAAACGAUGAUUACUCGAUGUUCGCGAUAUACAGUGAGCGUCCAAGCGAAAGCGUUAAGUAAUCCACCUGGGAAGUACGAUCGCAAGAUUG